CCUACGGGUGGCAGCAGUGAGGAAUAUUGGUCAAUGGGCGAGAGUCUGAACCAGCCAAGUAGCGUGAAGGAUGACUGCCCUAUGGGUUGUAAACUUCUUUUAUAUGGGAAUAAAAUGUUCCACGUGUGGGCUUUUGUAUGUACCAUAUGAAUAAGUAUCGGCUAACUCCGGGCCAGCAGCCGCGGUAAUACGGAGGAUCCGAGCGUUAUCCGGAUUUAUUGGGUUUAAAGGGAGCGUAGGUGGAUUGUUAAGUCAGUUGUGAAAGUUUGCGGCUCAACCGUAAAAUUGCAGUUGAAACUGGCAGUCUUGAGUACAGUAGAGGUGGGCGGAAUUCGUGGUGUAGCGGUGAAAUGCUUAGAUAUCACGAAGAACUCCGAUUGCGAAGGCAGCUCACUGGACUGCAACUGACACUGAGGCUCGAAAGUGUGGGUAUCAAACAGGAUGAGAUACCCUAGUAGUC
RNAcentral lists this ribosomal RNA (460 nucleotides) under uncultured bacterium. Its description in RNAcentral is "partial 16S ribosomal RNA". It matches the Rfam family "Bacterial small subunit ribosomal RNA", at positions 338 to 795 of the family's 1533-position model. The record is from RNAcentral.